GCGUGUAUCUCUUUGUAUAGUCUUAAAGUGUUUGCUCUGGAUGUUACAAUAUGUGUAUUGUAAUAUAGUAGUCUACUGGUACCAGUAUUUACCACUUCAAAGUGUGGAAACCUGCCUUGCAUUUAUGUCUCUUUACCUUUUCCACUUGUAUAAAUCACUGGCUUGAGUAUUAGGUGGUGGUAUAGUUUUUGUUUCAGUCGUCAGAUGUGAUUUUAAGAACUGUGGAUUGUCUCGCGUAUGUAUCCACAUUUCUCGUCUUUCCUUUGUCCCUCCUCCCAUAGUCCCAUAUUCAUCCCUUCUGCAUAAGAACUUUCUAUAGCCAUUUUUUUAUUUUGAUUUUUUUGUUUUAAUUUUUUGUAUUGUGGAAAUGACAGAACAUAUUUCCGUAGCCACUUUUUAGCAUUUCUAAAUUGACCAGUGACAAAUUCCUAUAUUCUCUUCCUCUGAGAAUGUCUUUAUUUCUCUCUUCAUUUCUGAAGGGUAGUUUCAUGGGAUAUAGAAUUUGCCUUUCAUGUAUUCAGAGGUUUUCAGUAUUCGUAUAAUCAAACCUGAUAGUUUUCCUUUUGGUUUUGAGGUUGUGUCUUGUUUGGGUGAGUCUCCUACCCCUUUGACUACAGAAAUGCCCUUUCAUUUUAAAUAUCCUCCUAUUAUGAAACACAUUUCCACAUUUUCUAAAUUUUUAAUUUUUAGCUGAGAAAUAAAUUAGUAAUUAUUUAAGUAUUAAUUAUUUUUAUCUUGUUAUUAAUUAUUGGUUUUAUUUAUUUACAUGUAGUUGGCUUACAUUUAGUUUAGUUUAACUUAAUUACUUUAAAGUAAUGUAUAAAUAUCUGCAGUUUGUACCUCAUGUUCUCACUCAUAAGUGGGAGCUGAACAAUGAGAACACGUAGACACAGGGAGGGGAACAUCACACACCAGGUUCUAUCCAGGGGUUGGGGGCAAGGGAAAGGAGAGCAUUAUGACAAAUACCUAAUGCAUGCAGGGCUUAAAACCUAGAUGACAAAUUGAUAGGUGCAGCAAACCACCAUGGCACAUGUAUACCUAUGUAAUAAACCUACAUGUUCUGCACAUGUAUCCCAGAACUUAAAGUAAAAUUUUAAAAAAAAAAAUAAUUAAUUAAAAAUAUAUAUCUUCAGUUUGUAAACGUCCCGACAACGCAGGAACAGAGUUAAAAGAGUGUGUGUCGUCCUUAGCUGCUCCCACCCCAUCGUCUCCUCCCUAGCCAACCCAGCCGCCAGUCUGGCGUGCGCCUUCAAGGUUUCUUCCUAGACACUGGCAAACAAACAUCACUAUUUUCUGCCACAUGGUAUCUUUUAAACACACACGAUUGUUUUGUGCAGAAACUUUCUAUUUUUACCUCUCAUAAGUGUCCUGUGGAUUCUUUCCACGUCACUGUGGUGUGUGUGCGUGUGUGAGAUUCAAGUUCAGCUUGCUAAUCUUGUAGAAAGAAUUACACUCCACUUCCCCUGUGCUCUGGCCCUCCCUAACACAGCAGCCCAUCCCUGGAGGCUGAUGGAGCCCCUCGAGCACCUGCUUACCAUUUCUGUUUGUUCUGUUUGUUCAGGUUUUCUGCCUCCUGCUAAGCCAAUUUAUACAUUCCAAGAAAAGAAUGAAGCUGGCCUCCCAUGGAAUGAAGCUGGCCUCCCGUCUCCUUGAUUUGAAGCAGCUUCUCCACGUUGGUUAUUAUGCCAUUUUUCUAAAUCUAACAUUUUAAAAUUUGUGCCUUUUCUUUCUCUUUUGCUUGACUUCUCAGAGGUUUUUUUAACGGUCUUUUCAAAGAAGUGGUUUUGGGUUUUAUUUAUCAAGUCUACUUUUAUUAUGGCUGUUUUAAAAUUAAAUACAUUUAUUUCUUGUUUCCCUUAAAAAAGCU
Molecule: long non-coding RNA, 1867 nt
Filed under: Homo sapiens (human)
Lineage: Eukaryota; Metazoa; Chordata; Mammalia; Primates; Hominidae
Description: HSALNT0304039
Source: RNAcentral